RNAcentral lists this ribosomal RNA (519 nucleotides) under uncultured eukaryote. Its description in RNAcentral is "SSU rRNA". It matches the Rfam family "Eukaryotic small subunit ribosomal RNA", at positions 1161 to 1699 of the family's 1831-position model. The record is from RNAcentral.
AGGGCACCACCAGGAGUGGAGCCUGGGGCUUAAUUUGACUCAACACGGGAAAACUCACCCGGGCCGGACACUGGAAGGAUUGACAGAUUGAGAGCUCUUUCUUGAUUCAGUGGGUGGGGGGGCAUGGGCGUUCUUAGUUGGGGGAGAGAUUUGUCUGGGUAAUUCUGAUAACGAACGAGACUCUAGCCUACUAAAUAGAUCGUCGGCUUACAAACGCCGGCGAGACUUCUUAGAGGGACAGGCGGCGAUUCAACCGCACGAAACAGAGCAAUAACAGGUCUGUGAUGCCCUUAGAUGUCCGGGGCCGCACGCGCGCUACACUGAAGUGAUCAGCGUGCAUUUUCAACCUACUCUGUCAAGAGUGGGGAACCCAAUGAACCUUCUUCGUGAUUGGGAUAGGGGAUUGUAAUUAUUCCCCUUGAACGAGGAAUUCCCAGUAAGCGCGAGUCAUAAGCUCGCGUUGAUUACGUCUCUGCCCUUUGUACUCACCGCCCGUCGCUACUACCGAUUGAAUGUUUU